RNAcentral lists this ribosomal RNA (720 nucleotides) under Marinobacter sp. 10100. RNAcentral's name for it is "bacterial SSU rRNA". It matches the Rfam family "Bacterial small subunit ribosomal RNA", at positions 56 to 767 of the family's 1533-position model. The record is from RNAcentral. Lineage: Bacteria; Pseudomonadati; Pseudomonadota; Gammaproteobacteria; Pseudomonadales; Marinobacteraceae.
UGCAAGUCGAGCGGUAACAGGGGGUGCUUGCACCCCGCUGACGAGCGGCGGACGGGUGAGUAAUGCUUAGGAAUCUGCCCAGUAGUGGGGGACAACAGUCGGAAACGGCUGCUAAUACCGCAUACGCCCUACGGGGGAAAGCAGGGGAUCUUCGGACCUUGCGCUAUUGGAUGAGCCUAAGUCGGAUUAGCUAGUUGGUGGGGUAAAGGCCUACCAAGGCGACGAUCCGUAGCUGGUCUGAGAGGAUGAUCAGCCACAUCGGGACUGAGACACGGCCCGAACUCCUACGGGAGGCAGCAGUGGGGAAUAUUGGACAAUGGGGGCAACCCUGAUCCAGCCAUGCCGCGUGUGUGAAGAAGGCUUUCGGGUUGUAAAGCACUUUCAGCGAGGAGGAAGGCUCUAAAGUUAAUACCUUUAGGGAUUGACGUUACUCGCAGAAGAAGCACCGGCUAACUCCGUGCCAGCAGCCGCGGUAAUACGGAGGGUGCAAGCGUUAAUCGGAAUUACUGGGCGUAAAGCGCGCGUAGGUGGUUAGGUAAGCGAGAUGUGAAAGCCCCGGGCUUAACCUGGGAACGGCAUUUCGAACUGUCUGACUAGAGUGUGGUAGAGGGUAGUGGAAUUUCCUGUGUAGCGGUGAAAUGCGUAGAUAUAGGAAGGAACACCAGUGGCGAAGGCGGCUACCUGGACCAACACUGACACUGAGGUGCGAAAGCGUGGGGA